GCCCGGAUGGUGGAAUCGGUAGACACAAGGGAUUUAAAAUCCCUCGGCGUUCGCGCUGUGCGGGUUCAAGCCCCGCUCCGGGUACCA
Molecule: transfer RNA, 87 nt
Filed under: Escherichia coli
Lineage: Bacteria; Pseudomonadati; Pseudomonadota; Gammaproteobacteria; Enterobacterales; Enterobacteriaceae
Also listed under: 1 other name
Description: tRNA-Leu
Rfam family: tRNA
About the family: Transfer RNA (tRNA) molecules are approximately 80 nucleotides in length. Their secondary structure includes four short double-helical elements and three loops (D, anti-codon, and T loops).
Source: RNAcentral